Molecule: long non-coding RNA, 2080 nt
Filed under: Cairina moschata (Muscovy duck)
Lineage: Eukaryota; Metazoa; Chordata; Aves; Anseriformes; Anatidae
Description: domestica (muscovy Duck (domestic type)) lncRNA (ENSCMMG00000017344.1)
Source: RNAcentral
ACCAAACAACAGGCAUCCUAGAAGCAAACACACUGAUCCAGGAGGGCUGAGAGCUGACCGAGAGGAAAUGACAGGAGGAUGUGUAUUUACCAGGAGGUUUUGGAAAUCUUUUACCAUUAACAGAUCUAACUUUUAACCUAAAGAAAGAUGAAAUUGUGUCAAGAUGAAACCUGUCUACAUUCUUUAGGAGAAAUUAAUAAAAUUUUCAUUUCUGUGAGGAUCUACGGUGGCUACUCGUCAAUGCAGGAAGUUGUCAUUCACAUACAAAUCUCUGCAGCAGAUCUGUUAGCAAAGAACAUACACCUCAGCAAACAAGUCCUCCCUGUGACUGUCUUUGCUUCUGUUCACUCUCAUACUGACAUUAUUGGAAGACAAUUCAUUUUCAGCAGCAAAAGAAACCAUUUCUUUCUCCAUGCCCUUAUAAUAUUGUUCUUAGACCACACCAUUGUUUUCAGUGCAUUAAGCUGAUCUGAUGUGUUAUUGUUCAUGCUUGAUCAGUCAUAGGUCAUGCAAGAAGGCUCUUCAAUCAGCAAAUAUUUGGAUGGAUGCUCAAGUCAAAAGCUAUUUCAGAAAUAGAGAUGUUACAACUGGUCACAGAUAAUGCAUGUUCUAGUUUUACUGAAUGCUCUGAGGAAGGCAGAUAUGAAAGUACUCAGUUACAGCCCUUAAAAUGGAGCGGAUUCUCUUUGGAAGAAGCACAAGAAGUAACACUGCAUCAUAGACAAGCUGAAGAAAAUAAGAGCUCAAAUGAAAAAAUUGCAAUGAAAGACCAUUUUCCCUUUCUAUGAAUUUCAAAGACCUUGAGAACAUGAUUUUGUUUACAUAUAACUCUGUAAACGUUGGUAUUGUGGAGGAGUGGCUGCUACCCUGAGGGCUGAUGCUCCUGAUGUUCUUUAAACCACUGUUGAUUUCUCAUGCAUGUUCCCACUUUCUUGGGCCAAUCUCCUCAUGCCCAGGCUCUCUUUCACCUUUCCAGGUGGUAAGUUGUUCCCCAGUUUCUUGUGUCCUCCUCAAUGGUCUCUUCAGGGUAUUCCCCAUGCUCAGGUGUCCAGCUGCACAUCAAGGACAUCCGUGGCUCCCAGGCACAGUUCCCAGGCCGAAGGCCAAGCUCCUAGCCUGGACCCCAGCCUGGCAGAUGUUGCUCCCAUCAGUGUGGAGGGGCCAUUUCAUGUCAGCAUUUUUUCACAAGUCACAUUAAAUCCCUAAGUGCUGCCACCAGGGGCACCCCAAGAGCCUUUUGAUGUUACUAGAGUCAUUGUCACCCUAUGGCCUCACAAAAGGCAGCUGGCUGUAAGUGCCCUGAGCAUCCAGCCUGUGUCCAGUCCAGCUGGUGGCACUCGAGAGCUUGAGAUCCUAGUGCUGGAAAGUGAGAUCUGGAGGUGUUGCUAGUGGAAGGCAUGACAUCGCGGUCAUUCCGGUGGCACAUGAGAGGUCACGGUCCUUCCUAUGACAAGAGAGUCAUGAUGUCUCCUUCUGGAUGGCAGGUGAGGCAGCCCAGUCCUUCUGGUGGAACUUGAGAUGUCAAAGUCUUUCUGGUGGCAUGUAAGAUGUUGAGAUUCCCCUGGUUGCAGGCAAGGCAUAAAAGUCUUCCUGGUGGAGCACAAGGCCUCAAGGUGCUGCUGGUGGGCUGCAGCUCUCUGAGAUUCUGCCAGCGACCUGGGAGGGAGGUGCUGAGGACCGGAGGCAUUUGAUACCUGCUUGUCAUCAGAGCAGGGUCCCACGGAGCACAAGCAUCUCCCCACCAGGACAGAGGCGAGCACCAUGAGCCAGCCACACCAGGAGCUGCCAGCAGAGGUGCCCAGAGAAGAGUCGUGCACCCUCUGCCUGGGCCCACCGGCUGACGGAGCUUGGCUGGACCCCUGCAGGCACUCCUGCAUGGAGUGCAUCCAGCCAUGGGCUGCCCACAGAGCCACCUGUCCGCUCUGCCGGCGGCCCAUCCUGGCCAUCGUGAGGCUGGUGCCGUGCUCCGUGCAGGACGCCUUGGCUUGCCAGCCCUGGGGAAGGGCCCAAAGCAACGCGGGGCUGGGGUGGCGACAGCAGCAGUGGUGGUGGAGCCCCUCCAGCUACCGGUCCUGCAGUG